GACGAACGCUGGCGGCGUGCCUAAUACAUGCAAGUUGAGCGCUGAAGGUUGGUACUCGUACCAACUGGAUGAGCAGCGAACGGGUGAGUAACGCGUGGGGAAUCUGCCUUUGAGCGGGGGACAACAUUUGGAAACGAAUGCUAAUACCGCAUAAAAACUUUAAACACAAGUUUUAAGUUUGAAAGAUGCAAUUGCAUCACUCAAAGAUGAUCCCGCGUUGUAUUAGCUAGUUGGCGAGGUAAAGGCUCACCAAGGCGAUGAUACAUAGCCGACCUGAGAGGGUGAUCGGCCACAUUGGGACUGAGACACGGCCCAAACUCCUACGGGAGGCAGCAGUAGGGAAUCUUCGGCAAUGGACGAAAGUCUGACCGAGCAACGCCGCGUGAGUGAAGAAGGUUUUCGGAUCGUAAAACUCUGUUGGUAGAGAAGAACGUUGGUGAGAGUGGAAAGCUCAUCAAGUGACGGUAACUACCCAGAAAGGGACGGCUAACUACGUGCCAGCAGCCGCGGUAA
RNAcentral lists this ribosomal RNA (513 nucleotides) under uncultured bacterium. Its description in RNAcentral is "partial 16S ribosomal RNA". It matches the Rfam family "Bacterial small subunit ribosomal RNA", at positions 28 to 523 of the family's 1533-position model. The record is from RNAcentral.